CGCACAUUGCGCUCCCUGGUAUUCCUAGGAGCAUGUCUGUCCGAGCGUCAGUACACACCCUCCGUCAACCUCUUUGCUGGGGUUCGAUCGGGUCCUGAGCGGUGGGAGCCAUCCGUGGCCUCGCCCUCUAAAGUGGAAAGCCAGCGGCCCGCCUGCCCAUGAAAGACGUAGUAAUAUCUCAAUGAAUCGUCCGCGAAAGGGUUGUAGGUUGGACUCGCCUCAAAUCUUUACUCAUCAAGGUUUGACCUCGGAUCAGACAAGAAUACCCGCUGAACUUAA
This 279-nucleotide unclassified non-coding RNA is filed under the name Lecophagus sp. RNAcentral describes it as "partial contains 5.8S ribosomal RNA, internal transcribed spacer 2, and large subunit ribosomal RNA". The record is from RNAcentral. Lineage: Eukaryota; Fungi; Ascomycota; Orbiliomycetes; Orbiliales.